Molecule: non-coding RNA, 1496 nt
Organism: Globicephala melas (long-finned pilot whale)
Lineage: Eukaryota; Metazoa; Chordata; Mammalia; Artiodactyla; Delphinidae
Source: RefSeq, a predicted model, not a curated record
GGAGUCCCUGACCCUGUGAUGUUUGUGAGUGAGCGGAACCCUUGCAGAGGCAUCCAGGUAUUUCCAGAGAUCCUGUGACUAUCAAGGUCUGCUCUCGCUGAAGCCAACUCGUCCUUAAUCCCUUCCUAACAGCAGAUAAGCUCAAAUAGAUGUCAUUGGCCCAAUGGAAUAAGUUUUUCCUUUCUAAUGUGGCAGAAGUACCAGUCGCAACGAAGCAGGGAUGACAUCAAAGUGGAUUGAUUCAGCAGCUCAACCUUGCCAUCAAGGGUCCAAGUUCUUUUAGCCUCUCUGCUCUGCUAACUGCAACACCAGCUUUACACGUCACUGGCUUCCUUUAUGAUCGUGAGAUGGAUGCUGUACAUUUUUUUGUUUUUGUUGUGUGUGUGUGUGUGUGGAAGAGAGAGAGAGGCUUUUUGUGAAUACUUUAAUUAAAUUGGGAUUAUUUAAGAAAGAGAAGAAAAGAAGAAAUGAUGCUGGGUGAUCAUCAGUGUCCAACACAGUUGCUCUGGCUAGGACUUCCAAUACUAUGCGGAAUAAAGGUGGCAACAGGUGGACAUCCCUGUCUUCUUCCUGACCUUAGAGAAAAAGCCUUCAGCUUUUCACCAUUGAGUAUGAUGUUAGCUGUGGGCUUGUUAUAUAUGACUUUAUUAAGACAUCAUCUACUUAAUAAACGAGCAAAUCUUGCUGUAUCUGAGAUUUUGGAAACAGAUGUACCUGUGUUUGAAAGUUGAUUUUGUUGCCUACUAGUCAUGAAAACUUGGGCAUGUUAUUUUACCUCUCUGAGUCUGUUCUCUUAUCUGUAAAAUGUGGAUAAUAUUGUAUGUUAAUUGUGAGGAUUAGGGGAAUAAAGUAUGCAUAGAGUAUCUGCAUUACAUUGAGUCUUCAUAAAUGGUAGCUACACUAAUAACAAAGAUAUUAAUAAUAAUUCAAUUCUUGUUUGAUUGUUACACAUUACACAAGCCCAGAGAUGUGGUAGAUUAAAAAAACCUGAUCCUUGGAAAUAAACAGACACAAAUGUAAUCAUGUGCAUUUAACAGAUGUGUUAGUUUCCUAGGGGUGUUUUUUCAUAAAUUACUACAAACAUGGUGGCUUAGAACAACAGAAAUUUAUUCUUUUUCAAUUCUGGAGGCCAAAAGUCUGAAAUCAAGGUUUUGGCAGGUUUGGUUCUUCUGGAAGUUCUGAAGGAGAAUCCAUUCCAUGCCUGUCUCCUGGCUCUAUGGCUCAUUGCAAUCCUUGUUAUUCCUUGACUUACAGAUUUAUGACUAUAAUCUCUGCCUCUGUCUUCAUAUCUGCAUGUCUGCUCACUUUUUCUUCUAAGGACAAUUGUCAUUGAAUUUAGAACCCACUGUAAUUCAGGAUGAUCAUCUCAAGUCCUCAACUUAAUUGCUUCUGCAAGAUGCUUUUCCCAAAUAAGGUCACAUUACAGGUUCAGGCAGACACAUCUUUUGGGAAGCUACCACUCCAUCCAGUACAAUAGAGAUAUAAUACAAUUUAAU